GUGUACAGCUAUGACACCCUGAACAAGCCUGAUCCCAUCUGAUCUCGAAAGCUAAGCAGGGUUGGGCCUGGUUAGUAGUUGGAUGAGAGACCACCUAGGAAGACCAGGUGCUGCAGGCA
Pteropus vampyrus (large flying fox) is the source of this 119-nucleotide ribosomal RNA. The record is from Ensembl. Lineage: Eukaryota; Metazoa; Chordata; Mammalia; Chiroptera; Pteropodidae.